GUUCCUUAAGUGGGGAAUACGCAUCGAAAGAUGUGCUAAUACCGCAUAUCUCUCAGGAGGAAAAGCAGGGGAUCGAAAGACCUUGCGCUAAAGGAGCGGCUGAUGUCUGAUUAGCUAGUUGGUGGGGUAAAGGCUUACCAAGGCAACGAUCAGUAGCUGGUCUGAGAGGACGACCAGCCACACUGGGACUGAGACACGGCCCAGACUCCUACGGGAGGCAGCAGUGGGGAAUUUUGGACAACGGGCGAAAGCCUGAUCCAGCCAUGCCGCGUGAGUGAAGAAGGCCUUCGGAUUGUAAAGCUCUUUUAGUCGGAAAGAAAGAGUCAUAGUAAAUAGCUAUGAUUUAUGACGGUACCGACAGAAAAAGC
Molecule: ribosomal RNA, 368 nt
Filed under: uncultured beta proteobacterium PV3H
Lineage: Bacteria; Pseudomonadati; Pseudomonadota; Betaproteobacteria; Nitrosomonadales; Nitrosomonadaceae
Description: bacterial SSU rRNA
Rfam family: Bacterial small subunit ribosomal RNA
Source: RNAcentral